RNAcentral lists this ribosomal RNA (253 nucleotides) under uncultured Alphaproteobacteria bacterium. Its description in RNAcentral is "partial 16S ribosomal RNA". It matches the Rfam family "Bacterial small subunit ribosomal RNA", at positions 524 to 776 of the family's 1533-position model. Lineage: Bacteria; Pseudomonadati; Pseudomonadota; Alphaproteobacteria. The record is from RNAcentral.
UACGGAGGGGGCUAGCGUUGUUCGGAAUUACUGGGCGUAAAGCGUACGUAGGCGGCUUUUUAAGUCAGAGGUGAAAGCCCGGGGCUCAACUCCGGAACUGCCUUUGAAACUGGAAAGCUUGAACAUGGGAGAGGUAAGUGGAAUUCCGAGUGUAGAGGUGAAAUUCGUAGAUAUUCGGAGGAACACCAGUGGCGAAGGCGGCUCACUGGCUCGAUACUGACGCUGAGGUGCGAAAGCGUGGGGAGCAAACAGG